This 85-nucleotide transfer RNA is filed under the name Candidatus Undinarchaeales archaeon. RNAcentral describes it as "tRNA-Ser". It matches the Rfam family "tRNA". Rfam says of the family: Transfer RNA (tRNA) molecules are approximately 80 nucleotides in length. Their secondary structure includes four short double-helical elements and three loops (D, anti-codon, and T loops). Further hydrogen bonds mediate the characteristic L-shaped molecular structure. tRNAs have two regions of fundamental functional importance: the anti-codon, which is responsible for specific mRNA codon recognition, and the 3' end, to which the tRNAs corresponding amino acid is attached (by aminoacyl-tRNA synthetases). tRNAs cope with the degeneracy of the genetic code in two manners: having more than one tRNA (with a specific anti-codon) for a particular amino acid; and 'wobble' base-pairing, i.e. permitting non-standard base-pairing at the 3rd anti-codon position. The record is from RNAcentral. Lineage: Archaea; Nanobdellati; Candidatus Undinarchaeota; Candidatus Undinarchaeia; Candidatus Undinarchaeales.
GCAGAGGUGGCAGAACUCGGUAUUGCGCUCGCCUCGAAAGCGAGUCCCUUUGGGAUUGCAGGUUCAAAUCCUGUCCUCUGCGCCA